UACGGGGGGUGCGAGCGUUGUCCGGAUUCACUGGGCGUAAAGGGCGCGUAGGCGGCCGGGUCAGUCGGGCCUGUAAGUGCGGGGCUCAACCCCGUGAUGGGCUCGGGACGGCCCGGCUGGGGCGCGGUCGAGGGAGACGGAAUGCCGGGUGUAGUGGUGAAAUGCGUAGAGAUCGGAAAGAACACCAACGGCGAAAGCACUCUGCUGGGCCGACACUGACACUGAGAGACGAAAGCUAGGGGAGCGAAUGGG
This 252-nucleotide ribosomal RNA is filed under the name uncultured bacterium. Its description in RNAcentral is "partial 16S ribosomal RNA". It matches the Rfam family "Bacterial small subunit ribosomal RNA", at positions 524 to 776 of the family's 1533-position model. The record is from RNAcentral.